UACGUAGGGAGCAAGCGUUGUCCGGAAUUAUUGGGCGUAAAGAGCGUGUAGGCGGCCCGAUUAGUCCGCUGUGAAAGUCCAGGGCUCAACCCUGGAAUGCCGGUGGAUACUGUCGGGCUAGAGUCCGGAAGGGGCGAGUGGAAUUCCUGGUGUAGCGGUGAAAUGCGCAGAUAUCAGGAGGAACACCAAUGGCGAAGGCAGCUCGCUGGGACGUGACUGACGCUGAGGCGCGAAAGCGUGGGGAGCAAACAGG
RNAcentral lists this ribosomal RNA (253 nucleotides) under uncultured bacterium. RNAcentral describes it as "partial 16S ribosomal RNA". It matches the Rfam family "Bacterial small subunit ribosomal RNA", at positions 524 to 776 of the family's 1533-position model. The record is from RNAcentral.